RNAcentral lists this transfer RNA (87 nucleotides) under Oscillospiraceae bacterium. RNAcentral describes it as "tRNA-Leu". It matches the Rfam family "tRNA". Rfam says of the family: Transfer RNA (tRNA) molecules are approximately 80 nucleotides in length. Their secondary structure includes four short double-helical elements and three loops (D, anti-codon, and T loops). The record is from RNAcentral. Lineage: Bacteria; Bacillati; Bacillota; Clostridia; Eubacteriales; Oscillospiraceae.
GCCGGUGUGAUGGAAUUGGCAGACGUGCUGGACUCAAAAUCCAGUGGUGGCAACACCGUGUCGGUUCGACCCCGACCACCGGCACCA